GAUUUUGUGUGCAGGAAGUAGUGGAUGCUACACCAAAGACAGUGCCUAAAGGAAGACAAAAAGAGUGUGUCUCAGUCCAUUUCAUCUGCAUCUUCAUAAAGUCCUUCAGGCAGACAGAGACACAGUCGUGCAGAGGCAGCCGAGGCGCUGAGGACGCAGCUAGCAGCAGCACUUGACCUGGACUCGAACACAACACAGAGGCUCAGACUUUGGCAUGAAUUCAGCAUUCAGAUCAUAGGAUAAAAUCAAAAAGGAACAACCUCCAAAUGAACCGAACUAUUUAUUGGACUCUUUAUUGGACCGCCAUGACGGAGGUUGCUAGGAGAUUUUCACGAAGCACCCCAAUAAAUCAGACACACAGACUUGUGUCAGCAUGACGUAAGAUGUGUCAUUUGUCUUUUUCACACACGCAGAG
Molecule: long non-coding RNA, 415 nt
Organism: Eleginops maclovinus (Patagonian blennie)
Lineage: Eukaryota; Metazoa; Chordata; Actinopteri; Perciformes; Eleginopidae
Exons: 3
Source: RefSeq, a predicted model, not a curated record